UAGGGAAUCUUCGGCAAUGGACGAAAGUCUGACCGAGCAACGCCGCGUGUGUGAAGAAGGUUUUCGGAUCUUAAAACUCUGUUGUUAGAGAAGAACAAGGACGUUAGUAACUGAACGUCCCCUGACGGUAUCUAACCAGAAAGCCACGGCUAACUACGUGCCAGCAGCCGCGGUAAUACGUAGGUGGCAAGCGUUGUCCGGAUUUAUUGGGCGUAAAGCGAGCGCAGGCGGUUUCUUAAGUCUAAUGUGAAAGCCCCCGGCUCAACCGGGGAGGGUCAUUGGAAACGGGGAGACUUAAGUGCAGAAGGGGGGAGUGGAAUUCCAUGUGUAGCGGUGAAAUGCGUAGAUAUAGGGAGGAACACCAGUGGCGAAGGCGGCUCUCUGGUCUGUAACUGACGCUGAGGCUCGAAAGCGUGGGGAGCAAACAGG
Molecule: ribosomal RNA, 429 nt
Filed under: Gemmatimonadota bacterium
Lineage: Bacteria; Pseudomonadati; Gemmatimonadota
Description: Gemmatimonadetes bacterium partial 16S ribosomal RNA
Rfam family: Bacterial small subunit ribosomal RNA
Source: RNAcentral